CAUAUGUUUGGUGCUGAUGAUGUUAAAGUGUCAGUGAUGGAGGAAGAAUCUGCCACUCUUCCUAUUAAUCCCGAUGAUAUAAAGAGAGCUUCUAAUCUAGAGUGGACGUUUAAAGACACAAUUAUAGCAAAGAUUGAUAUAGAACGUGAAGAUUGUCCAGUAGAAUACCCCGAUGAGAGAUUCAGAGACAGACUGAAGGUGGACCGUCAGACCGGAUCUCUCAUCAUCCAAAACAUCACAUCUGAAGACUCUGGAGAAUAUAAACUGCAAAUCACAGCCAGCACAGAAAAGAAAAAGACAUUCAGAGUUUCUGUCAGUGGUGAGUGAUUCAUGUCUUCUCUUGUGAGCAUUGGAUUCAAAGUCUGUGAAGAGUUAAUAUAUUGUUCUGGAAAAUCCCCAAAUGUAUGCAUUAAUAAAUAAUAAUUUUUGAAGGUUUAUUUGAUCUUGUUUGUUGAAGGAUUAAACUUCAGAUGUGUUAAAUAUCGCAGAAGCGAACAACAGCAGCAUUUCGAUGAUGUAAUUUAUGAUUAAAAAAGGUUUCAUUUCAGUGUUUAACCUUCAGCCUACCUAGUCUAGGUUACAACAUGUCCAGUUAUUAAAAACAGCAGUAAACACAUCAAACAACACAUUCACUAAUUUAUAUAUAUUAUGAUUAUAUUAAAGUUAAACAAUCUUUUGAAUAUUUUAGUAUUUACAAUUCACAUUUAUGGCAGCACUACUGGACCUACUCGAUCCAAUCUUGACACAUGUGCACACAAUAUGGCACAUGCUAUAUACAAUGUAACUCGAUUUUACACAAAUCUACAAUCCGCAACCUUGAUUAUGACCAUUUAGAUUUUGAUGUAGAUUGGACACUAUAGUAUAUGUCAACUUCCACUAUUUGGAAAUUAUUGACAAUGUUUUACAUGUAAUGUGUUUCUGUUUGUUUGUUUGUUUGGUGUUGAGACAGAAAUGAGCACAGUGUCAUUGAUGGAGGGAGAUUAUUUCACUCUGCAACCUGUUCUUAAAAUACAGACAAAUGUUGUCAUACCGUGAGUUCAAUGGCGAUGUUUAACUCACUCGAGAUUCACAAACUGUGAUGUGAAUCAUCAGACCGGACACCUGAACAUCGCAAACAUCAGACUCGAUCAAUCUGGAGAAUAAGUGAAGUGAACGUCAACGGCAGAAGUUUGAUGUUACAAAGGACAUUCUGCAUUAAUGUCACUGAUCUGACGUCAUACACCAGUACUGCGACAGUAGCCACGCCCACCACAGCAGAGAUGACCAAUCGGAUCACAGGUUCAGGACCAUUACAACAGCAUCCACAAUAUGAGGAAUAAAAGAGGAUAAUUCGUAUGAAUUGACAAUAUUGAACUUUCAUAGAUGUUUU
Molecule: long non-coding RNA, 1369 nt
Organism: Triplophysa dalaica
Lineage: Eukaryota; Metazoa; Chordata; Actinopteri; Cypriniformes; Nemacheilidae
Exons: 2
Source: RefSeq, a predicted model, not a curated record